RNAcentral lists this ribosomal RNA (480 nucleotides) under uncultured Marinomonas sp. RNAcentral describes it as "bacterial SSU rRNA". It matches the Rfam family "Bacterial small subunit ribosomal RNA", at positions 97 to 570 of the family's 1533-position model. The record is from RNAcentral. Lineage: Bacteria; Pseudomonadati; Pseudomonadota; Gammaproteobacteria; Oceanospirillales; Oceanospirillaceae.
GGCGGACGGGUGAGUAACGCGCUAGGAAUCUGCCUAGUAGAGGGGGACAACAUGUGGAAACGCAUGCUAAUACCGCAUACGCCCUACGGGGGAAAGGAGGGGACUUUUCGGAGCCUUCCGCUAUUAGAUGAGCCUGCGUAAGAUUAGCUAGUUGGUAGGGUAAAGGCCUACCAAGGCGACGAUCUUUAACUGGUCUGAGAGGAUGACCAGUCACACUGGGACUGAGACACGGCCCAGACUCCUACGGGAGGCAGCAGUGGGGAAUAUUGGACAAUGGGCGGAAGCCUGAUCCAGCCAUGCCGCGUGUGUGAAGAAGGCCUUAGGGUUGUAAAGCACUUUCAGGGGUGAGGAAGGGUGAUUGGUUAAUACCCAAUUAUCUUGACGUUAGCCCCAGAAGAAGCACCGGCUAACUCUGUGCCAGCAGCCGCGGUAAUACAGAGGGUGCAAGCGUUAAUCGGAAUUACUGGGCGUAAAGCGCGC